RNAcentral lists this ribosomal RNA (885 nucleotides) under uncultured fungus. Its description in RNAcentral is "bacterial SSU rRNA". It matches the Rfam family "Eukaryotic small subunit ribosomal RNA", at positions 564 to 1467 of the family's 1831-position model. Lineage: Eukaryota; Fungi. The record is from RNAcentral.
GUGCCAGCAGCCGCGGUAAUUCCAGCUCCGCUAGCGUAUUUUAAAGUCGCUGCAGUUAAAAAGCUCGUAGUUGAACCUUGGGCCUGGUGGGGAAGUCCGCCUCACCGCGUCCAGAGCUCCGGUCGAGACUUUCCUUCUGGGGAGCCGUGUGCCCUUCCCUGAUAUGAUUGGGGAACCAGGACUUUUACUUUGAAAAAAUUAAAGUGUACUGAGAAGGCCUUUGCUCGAAUACAUUAUGAUGCUAAAAUAGAAUAGGACGUGCGUCUCUAUUUUGUUGAUUUCUAGGACCGCCGUAAUGAUUAAUAGGUUAGCCGGGCGCAUCAGAAUUCAAUUGCCACAGAGGAAAUUCUUGAAUUUAUCGAACAGUAACUACUGCCCAAGAGUUUGCCACUCAUGGUUUCAUUAGUCAGUGAACGAAAGUUAGGGGAUCGAAGACGAUCAGAUACCGUCGCGAGGAAACCCAUAAACUAUGCCGACUAGGCAUCGGGCGAUGUUAUCAUCUUGACGCGCUCGUAGCCUUACGAGAAAUCGCAGCCUGUGCGUCGUCGGCUCGUGCUGUGCGCAAGGGUGAAACUUAAAGAAACUAGCGCAAGGCCUCUCCCUAGUGGGGAGCCUGCGACUUUAGUAGACUCAGCAAACUGCACUCACCAGGUCCAGACAAGAUAAGGAUUGUGAGAUUGAGAGCUCUCUCUUGUUCUUGUGGCUACACGCGCAUGACCGGUCGUAGUCGAAGGAGUGAUUACGUCUUGCUUUAUUUACCGAAAUCCCAACGAAACCCUUAUCUACUCAAAUCGCAGGCUGCGACUUCGGCGGCCUUGCAGCUGUCAUCGAGAGACUAUCGGACUUCAAGCCGAGAGACGUUGAAUGCCAUUCCCGGAGCUUGGA